UCAAAGUGACAAAGUCUGUGUUCGUUAUUUGUCAAAAUGAUCGUAUGCUUGGACUAGAAGCUCCCAAACUAAGUGAUCCUGAUUCGUCGUGGGUGAUCAACGUAUUUAUUGAGAAAGCUGGAGUUGUUUUAACAAGGUUUAUCGACGUAUACAAGUACAAAAACAAAGACUUACGGCUUUGGGCUAGUCGUGGUAAUACAGACUAGACAAGACCAGAUUGUCGAAGGUUUUAAAUCUACAUUUCAGUCCAUCUGUCCGUUAUCCUUCCUGAGAAUUUUGACCAUGUAGUGGAAUCAUCGCUUUGAAAAUUUGAGAAGUAACUAACCGUGUCUAAUGCCAUGGCAUCUAACGAACUACAAGAAAAAGCAAAUUAUACAAGACUUAGUAGACUUUUAGUUGACAAAGGAACUGAGGCUUUCAGAAAUACAUUUGAUACCAUCC
Dendronephthya gigantea is the source of this 441-nucleotide long non-coding RNA. RefSeq lists it as uncharacterized. The record is from RefSeq and is a predicted model, not a curated record. The transcript is spliced from 3 exons. Lineage: Eukaryota; Metazoa; Cnidaria; Anthozoa; Malacalcyonacea; Nephtheidae.